GAGCUUAUACAGGGUAUAGGUUGUAAGGGCAUCUACUUUACAGGCAGAAGGUUCCAGGUUCAAUCCCUGGCAUCUCCA
Molecule: non-coding RNA, 78 nt
Organism: Podarcis lilfordi (Lilford's wall lizard)
Lineage: Eukaryota; Metazoa; Chordata; Lepidosauria; Squamata; Lacertidae
Source: the annotation of a GenBank genome assembly